Molecule: long non-coding RNA, 1081 nt
Filed under: Helianthus annuus (common sunflower)
Lineage: Eukaryota; Viridiplantae; Streptophyta; Magnoliopsida; Asterales; Asteraceae
Description: hypothetical non coding rna
Source: RNAcentral
UUAUUUCUCAUAGACAUAUCAGACAUACAUAAUCUAUACGUACGUAUUUUUUUUCUUUUUACAUAAGCACAACAAUUAAACUCUACCAAACUAGACACUUGAUGCUACCCACAAUCCGGGCUACAUUUAUUAAGCUUAGCCCAUAUGCAACAACUACCAAACGACAUAUAAGACACGAUUAAGUCGAGCUUGUGUAGUCCCCAACAACUAAACUCGACUACAAUAGACACCAGGCGUCUCAAUCUUGGCCACAUUCACGUCCUUUAGAAACAACUACCAAUCGACAUCUGAGACACAAAUCGAGCUCGUAUCAUCCCCAACAACAACACCACCCACCACAUCAACCAUUCGAGAAUAACAACCACGACCAUUGUUAUAAUUGUAAUUCUGUUGAGUUUCUGCCGAACCCGACAGCACAAAACUACCCUUCACCACCACCAAACCAGUACAAUUCUGUUUGUGGCUCAAAACCAUCAACUCUUUACCACCAUAAAACCGCUCGCUCCGUUCUUGCACCACUUUUGUUGUCAUCACAGAGGUAUCAAUGUCUAAUCCAGGCUUCGUUUCAAUGGAGAUCUUCAAAGGAUACUUAAAUUUCACUUCUAAACUGUCAACCACCUUACCAACUUCAUUUGUGAUCUUGAUUCUAGUUUUCCUUUUGUACCUCUGAUCAACUUCUUUCUUGGUACCUUGCUCUUUAUACUUAAGUUUGCUCUUGAACUUGAUCUUUUCUGUACAUUGAGUUUUGAAGCAUGACAGUGAGUGUGAGAUUAGACUGAGAAAUAACCGAAGAAUACCUACUCACAUCCUUCCGAACAUUCCAGAAGCUUCCAUUCUCAGUCGGUUGAGUAGGUUGACGGAGCAUGACGGAGUGACGUUGUCGGUGGGGAGUGGGUGGGUGACUUCGAAGUAUUGUUUUGGAGCGGUGUCGUUUGUUGUUGAUUUGAUGAAAUGUGUUGUUGAUUGAAUUGGUUUUGUGAAGAACACAGAGAGGAUGAUGAUGAUGAUGAUGAUGAGCUUGGGGAUUGUCAUUGUUUUCGUUUUAUGUACGGGGUUUUGGUACGAAGGCGGGACGAGGUGA